Molecule: non-coding RNA, 133 nt
Organism: Gossypium raimondii (Peruvian cotton)
Lineage: Eukaryota; Viridiplantae; Streptophyta; Magnoliopsida; Malvales; Malvaceae
Source: Rfam
UAUUAAAAAUUUCAUCUAUUUCUACUAUUAAAAACUGACAUGGUUAACGAAAUAAUCAGACAGUUACACGUGUACCUCAUACUAAGGUACAUGGAUCAAUUUUUAACAAUAGAAAUGAAUGGAUUUUUUACAA